GAGGAGGAUCGACACACCACCUAUCACAGAAUCCAUCCACGCACCAGACAUCCAUCCAUCGCUUACAACAUUCAUCCACGCACCAGACAUCCAUCCAUCACAUCCCUUACAACAUCCAUCCACGCACCAGACAUCCAUUCAUCACGAAACCAUUCAUCGUUUACAACAUCCAUCAACCAAGCAGCCAUACAUCGAUCUACCAUGCACCAAGCACAUCCAUCAAGGAACAACUGAAGGCCGACGUCCGACAGGAGCACCCGACGCCUGGCCGCACGGAACGCCGGUCAGUUGAAGGACGCGGGCCGUUACGCCGACGUACACGCAGAGGAGAAGGACCAGCGUACACUCAUCUACACGCACGAAACUUCGGCGGCACCAGCGACAUGGACAACAAGCUGAUGUUCCUGAACGGUAAAAUCAUGAUCUAAUCUCUUGCAUGGACUUUAUAUUGCAUGCAUGCACAACCCGAUGGUGGCGCGGUGGAGCUCGAGGGACGCCGCUGAUGUCCACUUUGUCAAUACGGUGCCGCGGAGCUUGCCGGUACAACGCCCAUCGCCUUCCUGGUCAAGCCGGUGCCAUGAAGGACACGGGAGUGGAGGUCGUCAUCACCACGUCUACUUCAUCAUGAUGGGGUCGCGGAAGAGAGCGACAUCGAG
This 656-nucleotide long non-coding RNA is filed under the name Hordeum vulgare. RNAcentral's name for it is "long non-coding RNA (HVUL_LNC016445)". The record is from RNAcentral. Lineage: Eukaryota; Viridiplantae; Streptophyta; Magnoliopsida; Poales; Poaceae.